Molecule: transfer RNA, 66 nt
Filed under: Anomalurus derbianus
Lineage: Eukaryota; Metazoa; Chordata; Mammalia; Rodentia; Anomaluridae
Description: tRNA-Pro
Source: RNAcentral
CAAGGAAUAGUUUAAAUAGAAUUUCAGCUUUGGGUGUUGAUGGUGAAGUGUGUUCUUCUUCCUUGA